AUAUACAAAUAGCCAAUAAACACACAAAAAAAUGUUCUACAUUGGCUGAAUCUGCCCACAUGUCACCACUAUCACCACCACCCCCAUCCUGGCUCCCCCAGGUUCCCUCAGCCCAGCCUAGUUCAGCCUGGUUACCGGGAGGAUGAAGUUCGUGUACAAAGAAGAGCAUCCGUUCAAGAAACACGCUGCUCCCAGAGCAAGAAGAUUGGAACGAAAUACCCAGACUGGGUGCCAGUGAUAGUAGAAAAAGCUCCCAAAGCUUGGAUAGGAGACCUGGACAAAAAGAAAUACCUGGUGCUUUCUGAUCUCACAGUUGGUCAGUUCUACUUUUUGAUCCGGAAGCGAAUUCAUCUCCGAGCUGAGGAUGCCUUGCUUUUCUCUGUCAACAAUGUCAUUCUGCCCACCAGUGCCACAAUGGGUCAGCUCUACCAGGAACACCAUGAAGACUUCUUUCUCUACGUUGCCUACAGUGAUGAAAGUGUCUACGGUCUGUGAUGCUGCUGCCCCGGAGCUGAAGGCGGGGGUCUCAUUCUGCAAAGAGAGGUGGCCUCCCUUUCUUGACCUCCUCCUCCAAGCUCAAACACCACCUCCCUCAUUCAGGACCGGCACUUCUUAAUGUUUGAGGCUUUCUCUCCAGCCUCUCUUAGGAUGGGUAAUGGUGGAGUUGGCAUCUCGUACCUCUCCUUUCUCCUUUCUUCCCCUUUCUCUGCCUGCCUUUCCCACUCUG
Molecule: non-coding RNA, 727 nt
Organism: Macaca mulatta (Rhesus monkey)
Lineage: Eukaryota; Metazoa; Chordata; Mammalia; Primates; Cercopithecidae
Source: RefSeq, a predicted model, not a curated record